AAUUUUUGGCAAGGUGCUGAGAUGACGAGAGACAUUUUAUUAAUUACUAUAGCGAUAACUCUUUUUUAGCACUUUGCUCUCUUUUACCCUGAUAAAUCUAUCUCAUCCAAUGUGUCCUAACUGUUCUUUCAAAAGGCCACUAGGUAAAUGUUCUGUGUGCUAGGAGACAAGUCACACAUUCUGCUCAGAACAAGCAGACCUUAGACGGUUGUAUUUGGGAUCCAUGCAAUGAACAGAAUGAGAGCAAAUUUGUA
Pelobates cultripes (western spadefoot toad) is the source of this 254-nucleotide non-coding RNA. Lineage: Eukaryota; Metazoa; Chordata; Amphibia; Anura; Pelobatidae. The record is from the annotation of a GenBank genome assembly.